Molecule: long non-coding RNA, 37446 nt
Filed under: Zea mays
Lineage: Eukaryota; Viridiplantae; Streptophyta; Magnoliopsida; Poales; Poaceae
Description: long non-coding RNA (ZMAY_LNC000248)
Source: RNAcentral
GGCCUCCCUAGUAUUUGCGAUUACUUUUAUAGCAAGAGGCAAAGAGAGAGAUGAUAUAAAAUCAUUUGAUAAAAUCUAGUACGUAUGAUUUAGCCAGAUAUCACCGGAGGGGUGAGAGCUCCCCAACCGAAAUAUUUCCCAGUGGUGGCCGUCACAGUCCCCUUUCAUUUAAGCAGGGCAGUGACGCAGUGUCGAGCUCGAGCCUAGAUAGCCUAAGUCCUCCUUUUGGUCGCUGAGCCUUGUCCCAAAGCCCAACUAACCAAGCAUCUAGCGGAAGAGGUUGAGGCUCAUCCUGACCAGAGGUUCUCCAGAGCCGCCACUAUCCCCAAUGGGGGAGCGAUCGCCGCUGCAAGGCCAUCUAGAGCGGUGUUGAGUACCAGCUUGCCGUGGUGACUGAGCAGUGCCGCCUACCAGCCACGGUUUAUAAAACCAUUUCACCCGUGAAACCCGGUAUUUAGACCGUCGGUAAACCGGUGGAAACCGGUAAAAACCGACCGGUUUGACCAAUUCCAAUCAAUUUGAAUUCGAACCAGUUUACCGACGAAAAAACGGUGAAAAACCGCCGGCAAACCACGAAACCGGCCGAUUUUUGCUGUUUUUAUAGAAAAAUGGAAAAUUUUGACAAGGUUUAUUUGUAGUUUGCUCAAUUCACAUUGCACAAUAAAUAUUAAUUGAUCCACAUGAUAUGUGUUCAUCAAAAUAACAUACAUAUGCAACCACAAACUCUAGUUCUCAUGCAAAAAACAACCAGCGAAUUUCACAAUACUCAAAUACAAGUUCUUUUACAACUCUCCAACGAGGCAACGAGACAUAGGUUGAUUUAUUUCACAAUACUCAUAUGUUCAGCUCGAAUCAUAGUGAUAGUACUCAGGCAUAUUGAAAGGGUCGGAUAUUGUUCCAAUCUGUCAUAGUGAUAGUAAUAGGUCUAUGCAAAAGAUAUGAGAUACAUUAGCGAGAAAAUAAGAACGAUAAAUAAAUACUUAUCCACAAAGCAAAAAAACAUACCGGUAUGUGUGUUUGAUGUUUGUGUAUUUUAGGUGUACCUCACCAAGUGUUGGACUUUUCUCCUGAUAAGCAAAUCUUAGGAACACAUACAGAAGAACUGGAGCUAAGAGUUCUAGAUUGGGUCUUGUCCAGACGGAUAGUUAUUAGAAGAACUGAAGCUACUUGAUCUACGGAUUCUAUCUUGGAUAGGAAAUGAAACCGAAAUUGACCACUAAAUGCCUAAACUGGAUCUGAGCUACGAGUUUCAUCUUUAUAUAUAGCAUAUAACAUCUUCACAUAUAGCAUAUAACUGUAAACAAGACUAAUAUGUCUAAAUUGACCAUUAAAUACUCAAUCUUGGCAUUAAAACCGGUUUCUCAGAAAAAAUUGACGGAUUACCGGUCUAAAAUAACGAUUUACCUGUCAACAAACGGUUUACAAGUGGUUUUCAGUUUUAUUGUUUUUUUUUCAAUUUUUUUACAUUUAAAACGAAUUUUGAAAAAAAUCAGUGGUUAACCGAAAAUGCACCCCGACAGUUUCGGUAAACCGACCGGUUUACCUCCGGUUUUCAUUGGUUCUGUAAACCAUGCUGCCAGCCAGCCAAAUGUUCGUCCAACCUAGAGAUCAAUCGGAUAAAAGCAGAGACAUUCAAUUUGACGUUGGAUUGGAUAUAUGUGGAAAAGUGGCUUGUUAGCACUACAGGGUGCGCACGAUGUUUUCUCUGUUGAACCGCGACAUGCACGAGAGUAUGGGUACGAGUACGAGUAUAGGUGCCCAAAUGGGGCUCGCCACGACCCGUCACAAGCACGUUAGAACCAACAACAAAUUGGGCUAGUGGCCAUCAGAACCCGACUUGGAUCAUUAUAAAUACUGAAUAAAUAAAAAUUGCAGAUAUAGAUAUACUACCUUUUGUAAAAUAAAAAAAUAUUUAUGCUAGAAACGCACAACGUGGAGAGCGUCACCAUGCUUUUCGCCUUGGCCGACAGGUGCGCCAGGGCUGCUGAGGGCCGAGCGUGGCACUAAGUUCUAAAGGACGGGGCCGCCCAAACGGGUGGCUUAGGAGCCGCUGCCCGGCGUAACGGUAAAAGGAGCCCUAGCUCGCAGCUGUAGCAUCCCAAAAAUUCAAAUCUUAAAAUUUUCUCAAACUCGCUCUAAAUUCAAAAUGAAUUUCAAAUUUCAUUUCAAAAUGUUUAUUUGCGAGUUGAUAUCAACAAAUAAAAUAUAGUGGUCUUUAUUUUCUCCAAAAUCCUCCUCAAAAUAUCCUACAAAUAUUUCCCGAGUAAUCCCCUUUAAGUUCUUUCCAGAAAUACUGCCCAGAUAUUUCCCCAAUGAUCCCCUCAAUUUCUUUCCAGAAAUAUUGCCCAAAUAUUCCACCGAUAUAUCUCCAAGUAUUUUCCUCUUGAGAAAUACCUUUAGAAUCAUUUUUCAAGUCCCUACAAAUAUUUUCUUCAUAACUUUCCUCAUGCUCAUACGUAUACGUACGCCUCCGGUGUCAUACGGUGAGCUCUACAAGCUAAUUACACUUAUACAAGACAAAUACAUGCUAAUCUCCCACUAAUCCUCUCAUCCUCCCACUAAUGCUCUCAUCCCUCCCCCUAAUCCCCCCACCAUGGCUAUAAAUAGAGGGGCAAGGGCCUCCUCUCAUCCCACUCCAAGCCAUUUCAUGGCAACUCUCUCCUCCCACACACACCCACUCCAUGUUCCACACAAGCACACACUAACACAAGGAUCGUCCGAUCGUUCUUCAAUCGUUCGUCCCCUGUUAUUAGUUUGUUCGUUCGUUCAUCCGAUCGUUCGAUCGUUCGUCCGAUCGUUCAUGGUUCGUUCGUCCGUUCGUCCGAUCGUUCGAUCGUUCGUCCGUUCGUUCGUCCAAAUAAUCUUUUUCCUACCGUUAUGCUACCGAAAUUCCGAUCGUUCGUUCGUUCGAUCAUUCGAUUGUUCAUCGUUCGUUCAUAGUUCCUAUUCAUCGUUCGUUCAUAGUCCCUAUUCAUCGUUCUUCCAGAUAAUCUUUGUCCUGCCGUUAUGCUGCCGAAAUUCCGAUCGUUCGUUCGUCCGAUCAUUCGAUCGUUCGUCCGUUCGUUCAUCCAAAUAAUCUUUUUCCUGUCGUUAUGCUGUCGAAAUUCCGAUCGUUCGUUCGUUCGAUCAUUCGAUCGUUCAUCGUUCGUUCAUAGUCCCUAUUCAUCGUUCUUCCAGAUAAUCUUUGUCCUGCCGUUAUGCUGCCGAAAUUCCGAUCGUUCGUUCGUCCGAUCAUUCGAUCGUUCGUUUGUUCGUUCAUAGUUCCUAUUCAUCGUUCAUCGUUCGUUCAUAGUUCCUAUUCAUCGUUCAUCGUUCGUUCAUACGAACUAUUCACCAUCACUAUUCACCAUUACUAUUCACUGACACUAUUCACCAUCGUUACUAUUCAGUGUUACUAUUCAUCAUCGUUAAUACUCAUCGAUGAUAUCUAUGUAACUUUUUUUGUCGUCACUAUUCAUCGUUACUAUUCAUCGAUUAGCCGAUCACCCCAAAUUUCAACUACUCAUACAUCAUGUUGUCCAGUCCACCUAAGACCAGCCAGACCCAUAUUCCAGUCAUACGAACUCCGGUGACUGUGAUUUUCCUUCUAGUGGGAACUUCCCAUCUGGUCACCCAUCCUAGGUUUCUCCAAGUUGAGCAUGCUUAACUUUGAGAUUCCUUCGAACCAGGCUUCCAAACUCCGAUUCCAAUAAUUCUUGUUUCUAAAUUCUUAUCGAAUUAUUUCCUAUCCAACCAUGUAAUCCCUUAAGCAUGGUUCAUAUUCUAGAAAACUCCCAAAAUACUCUUGUCCCAUAUUCUGCCUAUAACUCUCCUGUUCAUACUAAGUCAGACGAUUCAUUCGUCACUAUUCUCACCAACAGUGAACUUCACUGUGCUACACCACAUACACCUAGCUAUAAAUACACCCAGCUACCCUCUCCCUCUCCACACACUCAACACCCUCAACCAAGGCAAACACCCCACCCACUUAGUUACUCUGCUCUGCCGGCUACACGCAUAGUGUCGCUUCGCCUCCAGUCCACCCUCCUGGUAAGCACCUCCGCUCCACCACUAGUAGUAUCUCAACACCACAUGACAUAGAUUCUACUCAAGACUCUACCCAUCCAUAUAUCGCUAUUCUGACCACUAUACUAAAUAUUUGUUGGUAUACUUGCUUGUUUGUAUGUUUGCUUGUUCAUGUUGCAUAGUUAUCGGAGCGUUCGUGCCGUCUCGUGGAGGCCAGAUCUGCAAGUCUACGCCAGGCAAUGGAGCUAGAAGCCAGUUCCGCGAGCUCUCCUUCCCCCUUCGCCGAAUAAGCACGACAAGCUCACUGGAUCCCUUUGAUGCAUAAAUUACCUAUGUUUUUCAACCACAACCCUCAGCCUGUUAUUUUAUGCAUGAUAUGAUUUUGAGACAAGUUAUUAUGGCCACCCAGCCGCUUGCCGCAAUCAAUCCCUGAUAUAUUCGUUACAAAUGAUUUGAGGAAAGAUGUGAGUUUCCAAAAGAAAAUGCUUUUCAAAAUUUGUAUGAUGAAGGUUUUCACCCUUAUCACCUUGUGAGUGGGAUAAUCAGGGACUCCCUGGUUUAGGGGAGGGCCUAAGGUGAUGGCUCAGCUAGUUUAGGCGUGAGCAGAAGGAUUGUCCCCUCUUAUAAGGACCGGUUUGUCAUCUUUCACUGCCUGUACUCCUUAAUACUACAACCACUCGAGACUGUGUGGGCAGUCACUCAAUCUGAACUCGUACGGUCCAACCCCAGGGUUAUGAAGGCUGGGGAGCACCGGGAGGAUAAGGAGGGGGAAUGUUUUGUCCGGUUUGGACAUGGCGGUGGCCUGACUCCUUCCGGUAUAACCAUUAAGGUUAGGACGUGCAAGGAAAGAAAGAGAUUCGGAUUCGGGUCUCACUAGCUAUGAGAUCGCAGAGCCGGACUAGUGGGUAAAGUGUACACCUCUGCGUAGAGUUUGAAAACCUAUUCGAAUAGUCUGUGUCCACAGGAAUGGACGAGUCUGGUGUGGUAUGGCAAUUAGUGUUUUUGUUUUAAAAAAAAGAGGUGCUUUUGAGAAAAGUGGUUUUUAAAAGGUCCGGCGGUUGAGCCGUGAGCUAUGGUGGACGGGAAGUCUGGUAGCUGUUUUUGAAAAUGAAAACCAGUGGGAAACUGCUGAGGUACCUGGAUGGUUUAGUCCAGAGGAUUUUGUUCUAAUAUUGAAAAACUUCCUACUCCUUUUGGAGAGGUUGCGCUUUGCAAAAAUACAAAAUGUUUUUCAAAACAACCCUGCAUAAAAUAUUGUUGUUUCUGCAAAAUAUCCUGAGCUCCGCAUAUUCCAUGCAUUAUAUCUGAUUUCCCCAUACCGUGGGUGAAGGUGGGCUGCUAAGUACGUUUGUACUCACCCUUGCUUAUUUGUUGUUUUUCAGAAAAAGGAGAUCGGGUAAGAGUUACGACUGUUCCCAACCUUGCCUGUGGCUGUUGGACCGCUGAUUUGCUUCGCUGCGUAUAUAGGGCUGCUUCAGCCCCACUCCGAUGAUAUGUCCCGAGUUGUGGACCAACUCUUAAAGUUGUUCGCCACCUUUGUAGGUUUGUCUCGUUUAAGCAGAUUUGGUAUCAUCUGAUGUAUAAAUGUGUUUACUAGCCUCCUGGGACUAGUAAUUGUAUCACAUUUGAGUCCCAGAGGAUUGGGGACGCUUCAGCAGCAUACCUCAUUAUUCACGUGAGGAAGAUGGAGAAGGGCUUCGACGCCUUGAAACUGCAACAUAUUCCUCGCGGCAACUCGGCAACAGGUGAACUCCCCGCGAGGGCAUCUGUCACACCCAGUUUUAGAAGGCAAACCGAAUGCGAACCAUGUGUGUGCCAGGAUCAGAAACUCACAUACACAACGAUUACAUAAUUGGACAUCAUCACAUAUUGUUCAAAAUAAAUAGCGGAAAGGUACUUUAUUACAUCAAGAUGUCUAAGACAUCUACAGAGUCAUUAACAUAACAUUGUCGUUACUAACAUCAUGGUACAGAAAAGCUAACGUAGCAGAUAAGGCCUUCACAGGUAGCUGAAUGGGGUUUUGCCACUAAUAUAACUAGAACUUGUCGUAGUCCUAGAACUCCUCAAUGUCCUCCAUGUUGCCUACAUCUCCUCUUGAGCACUAAAUACAGUAGGGACAACCUGGGGUGGGGUGAUGUUUAAAACAAGGGUGAGUACACAUCAACAUACUCAGCAAAUGUCCCGUUUGGCUAAAGUGAAUUGUCUGUAUGUGGAGUUAAGGUUAAGCAGUUGCUUUUAGUUGGUCAAGUAUUUAUUACUAAUAGUAGAGCCAAAUUUUAGUAAUAAACCCAGUUAUUACCCAAAUGUACUCCCUCCAAGAGAAAAUACCAGAGAUCAUAAUAUAACCAUCAUCAUUAACCAUCAUCAUAAAAAUAUCCAAAGUUCUUCUAAUCAAAGAGGAUCCCAAGGCUGCUCUUAAUCGUGAGCCCGGCUAAUAUACCAGUUUCUAACACUCUACAGAGGUUGCACACUUUACCCACGAGUCAUGAUCCCCUUUCUGCUCGGAGAGUGCUACUCCCCAUUGACCACUACCUAGGUGGCCUGGCAGGGUAUCACUACGUAGCCUUUACAAAGACUCCCCUAGUGCAUAGUUGCUCGUUAGGUUUCACCAGUCGUACAAACACAGUACACCUCCCUAAGGUGGGUGACUAACAAAACCAAAUCGAAUGAACCUCGGCACCCACCCUUAUCAGAGCGAGCACUAUGCCCUGGCCCCCAUUGACGGCCCUCCAGCAAAGCCAACUACACCCCCAGGUUCAUCUAAUUAUUUAGCUAAGGGCGUCUCAUUCCACCCUCAUAGUUGCACUGUUAUCCCGGGUGGUCACUCAACGAACAGGUCCUUACAGAGAGGUACUUAGGAAAUAGCCUGAGUCCCCUAAAGUAUCACAAGAUCAUCAUUGAGAUAACAACAUUGUAUCAUAAAUAUUUACAUCAUGUUCAUUGAUUAAGUUAAAGCAAUAGCAUAAAGCUAACCAUAGUAACCCAAAAAAGGUAACAAGGAUAAAGUAAAUACAGACUAGUCAGUCCUUAGGUUUCAAUAAUGUAAUGUAAGAUGGUAGUAAGUAGGACAUAGUAGGUCAGAUGACACUUGCCUUCACCAGGUUGUUGCUCAUGAAGGUCUUCGACAACACACUCAGGAACCACGGGUUGCUCGUCAUCUAAAUAAAGCGAUCAUGCAUUCAAUACAUUUGGAUAAAGACAAAUGAACAACACACCAAUCAUGUACAAACAAGUGAACACAUCUCAAAAGAAUAGUAUAAACUCAAGAGGUAGUUUAGGUUAUAGGGUGAACUAACACAUUUAGUAGUUUAUUAUUCUCUAAGUGUUGUCUAUCUCCAUGGACUACAUAAUUAGAUUUCACUAAUUUAACAAGACACAAAAUUACACCAGUGGUAGAUUCAUACUUUACAUAUUAUUAGUAUCAAAAGGUUAAACAUCUAAUUACCAUUAGGGUUUCCUUUUUAUUUAUCUUAUUAAGUAAAUAAACUAUUACAUAAACUAACCUAUAGCCUAGGCAUAAAAUUAGGAUGCACAGAAAGUGAAUGAUCAUACUUUAUUUGGACAGAGAAUAAUUCCAUGAACAUUUUGCAAUUCGAAUCACUCAAUUUGGAGUUCAUAUGCAAAAGAUAUGAAAUAAACAAGUUUUGAAGUUUAAAAUACAAAAUUAGGUCCAAUUAUGACGGGCUGGACGACCGGCACGACGGGCGUGGAACUUCGGCAAGGGCAGAGCGCGAGAGAGGGUGAGCUUGCGUGAAAUGAGGCAGUGGAGAGAGAGAGAGGGAGCGAGCGGUGCUCAAAAAGGAGCUGGGGCGCGUGGGCAGGCGACGUGGCCAGGGUUCUCGACGUGCGUGUGCGAUGGUCCACGGCGGUUCUUGGGGAAAGUGGAGCUGAUAGGACGGUCCCACGUCACAAAGAGAGGGAGCAAGCGCGCUGGGGAAACGACUCAUUGCGCUGACAAGGCGGACCCGCGAGGCAGGGAGGGAAUGGGGGCGCGCAGGCGAAUGGCACCGAUAAACUGGCCCCACUAGGCAGAGGGAGGGGGGAAGAGAGAGCACGGGGAAGGAAACCGCCGCUGACAGGUGGAGCCCACCUGUCAGGCGGCGAGGGCGCGCGCGGCCUCGCUGGGCCGGACUGGGCCGGUUGGGCUGAAAUCGUUUUUCCUUUUUCUCUGGAAUUUCUGAUGCCUUUUAUUUUUAUUUUCCCUAUGGUUUUCAAAUCAAAUUCAAACACCAAACCAAAUUCAAAUAAUUUCAAACAUGUGCACCAAACAAAAGAAUAAUUUAGGCUCAACAUGAUGCAACAAUUCAUGACUCACGUAAUUUUGACAAAAUAAAUAAUUAAUCCCUCACUUAAUUAACCUAAUUCUACUCAAAAGGAAAAGAGAGAGAGAGACUAGAUAGAGAGAGAGAGACAAAGGGUAACACCUAAAUUUGGUAGGCAUUUAGAGAAUAAAUUUUAUACCCCUAAAUUCUGGGUGUUACAGCAUCUACUUGGGCAUCCGUGCCUGAGGUCGUCUUCGAAAGACGGCUACUGAGACCUACCGCUCAACCCGCCAAACUGGGUGAAGGGGCUGAGACUAGAACAUCAAAGCUAGCAGUCCCAACGGCGUUCCAUCCAUGGAGCCCGUUAAAGAUUGGGUGUGCUACUAGCUAGGUCCCCGGUGACCUCUUAGCACCACAUCCAAUUGCUCAGGGGGGUCCCAAUGCAUGGAUCUCAGAGAUCCGACACCACCUGAAAGACAACAUUGAAAGUUACCUAGAGGAGGGGUGAAUAUGCGAAAUCUGGACAUUAUAAACUUUAAACACAAACUUCACCUGGAGUUAGCGUUAGAACAGGUAAUAAUGAAAUCAGAGUGUGGAAAAUGGUUCUCCUUGCCACGAAUUGCUCGAUUAAUGUGUGGAUUUACUUUAGGAGCAACUGAAAAGGACAAGCAAGAGAAUUUUAGAGAGAGGGGAGAAGAAGAAUCAAAUCACAAGGUAAUGGUCAACAUAAAUGAACACGACAAUUUGUUUCCUGAGGUUCGGUUCCGAAGAACCUACUCCCCGUUAAGAAUGCCUUGUAGGUCGGGUCUCUUUCAACCCUUUCCCUCUCUCAAAUGACCACUCAGACCGGUUGAGUGCUUCUUCUUAAUCUCGAGGAUCACUUAGACCCCGCAAGGAUAACCACACAAUUAGGUGUCUCUUGCUAGCUUUACACUUGAGAGCUUUGAAGGAUAUGAAGAAAGCACAAUCAAGAAAACCAAGCAACAAGAGCAACAAGAAAAACACAAAAUUACACUCUCUCUAGACUUUCCAACGCACUAAUCACUAAUGACCACUAGUCACAAUUAUGACACUUGGAAGAGUUUGGGAGCAUUAAAUGUGUCUUGGGAUGAAAUGCUUGCUCUUGUAUUGAAUGAGAAUGAAUGGAAUGCUUGGAUGUGUUGAAGGAGGUGGUUGGGGUUGUAUUUAUAGCCACCAACCACUUCCUAGUUGUUGUCCAGUUUCUGCCAACCAUGGACGGUCUGCGCACCUAACACGGACGGUCUGCCCCUACAUAUCAACGGCUUAAAUCGCAACAGUUAGUAGUAACAUCUAUAAGUGCAUUAAAUGUGUCGUUAGAUGUCAGAUAAAUAAGUCAUAGACGGUUCGAUCGUGCAACCCCGGAUGGUCCGUGAGGACGCUAUAAUUCCUUUUUACCGAGCUUCGCACCUUCGGGUUUCUUUGGUUUGCAAUGAGUGGACGGUCCGGGCCUGAGACCGGACGAUCCGCACAUGGUGCCGGACGGUAUCCACUUAUCUGUCAUAACCACUCCCAGAAUGGGUUCAGGGGCCAAUGUCGGUACCCUGAAACUGGGGUACCCUCUCCUACUGUGCCAAAGGUAGAUACACGUGUGGUUACUUUUAACCGCGUGAAAGUCUCCUAGAGGGGGUGAAUAGGCGAAACCUAAAAUUUAUAAAGUUAAACUUGCACUAAGGUCGGGGUUAGCGUUAGAAUUAAAUUCAAGUGAGGAAGAUUGUUUCUCUUGCUAAGAGUUGCUCAAUAGAUGCGAAUGACGAUUGGGAGCAAACACAAAUCAAUAUUAGCAAGGAAACUUUAGAGAGAGGAAAGAGGGAAAACAAAUCAAAUGGAAAUCAACACAAGUGAACGCGGUGAUUUGUUUUACCGAGGUUCGGUUUCAAAGAACCUAGUCCCCGUUGAGAAGGCCACAAAGGCUAGGUCUAUUCCAACCUUUUCCCUCUCUCAAACUGUCACUUAGACCCGAUGAGUCUUCUCCUUAAUCAAUCGGGUCACUAAGACCCCUUAAGGACCACUACACACUUAGGUGUCUCUUGCUAGCUUUGCAAAGCAAUUAGAGAAUAAGAAUGGGAAAAGAGAAGGCAAUCCAAGCGACAAGAGAACACAAAUAAUCCUCUCACAAGUCUAUAUGCACUAGAGUUGAUUUUGGGAGCUUGGAGUGGAUUGAAUGCUUUGAAUGUGUAUUGGAGUGUUUGGCUUAGCUCUUGCAAUGAAAAUGGAGUUCAAAAAACUUGGAUACCAAUGAAUGAGGUGCAGUAGUGGAGGGCAAAGAAAAAAUGUGGUAUGGCUGAAAAAAUGAAAUCUACAAGAAUUGUGAAUCGAACUCAAGCCCUGCUGCUAAAAUCGAGGCAACACAUCCACCACAACGCGUCUUGUUUUGUGUUUAUAGUGGAAGAUAUAAGAGUUUUUAAAAGUAAGGUAUGGUUGAUGCCACACUAAGCCAUAAUGGCUCCUCUGCCAUUGAUGAGGUGGUUGGGGCAUUUAUAGCCUCCAACCACUUCCUAGCUGUUGGCUGUUUUUGCUGGCGAUGGUCACACCAGACAGUCCGGUGGUGCACCAGACAUCUACUAUUCACUGUCCGGUGUGUGCCACGUCAGCAUACCCAUCGGGGUUUGGAGCGAGUUGACCGUUGGAACCCUUGUCCUAUAGCUGCACAGGACAAUCCGGUGCAACACCGGACAUGUCCGGUGACCUCUGGCUUUGCUGCUCUGACUCUGUCGUGCACUGUUCACUUCAUUGUUUGCUUUUGCAGGCGACCAUUGCGCGUAGUGACCAUUGCGCCGCUGGCUCACCGGACAUGUCUAGUGCACACCAAACAGUCCCUUGAAUUAUAGCGGAGCGCACCCAGAGAAUUCCUGAGAGUGGCUGGUUUGCUUUGCGUGCGAGCCUGGUGCACCGGACACUGUCUGGUGCGCCAAUGGCAGCACACUCUCAAGUCCUUUGCCCCAAAUUUGUUUGUGUCCCCAACUGAAUUUCUUUCUUGGUUUGUGUUGAACCUUAUGCACCUGAGAUAAAUGACAUCUAGGCAAACUAGUUAUCCACGUGGUUUGUGAUGGACAUCAACCACCAAAAUCGAUUACGGGGCGUUUGGAUCCCUUCAUUUUAGAGGAAUUGGAAUUCACUCAAUAAAGUAACUUAUUUAGUUUGGAAUUUGACAUUCCACCACUUUCUAGAGUUUAGAUAUAAGCCUAUCUCAAAUUCAUGGGGUGGAGGGUGGGAAAUGAUUUUAUGCAUUACUAGAAUUGGUUUCUAAUCUAUAACUUACAUGACAUUCUUCGUUUCACUCACCUAUAGUAAAAAUGUAGCACAUAAAUAUCUCCGACAUCUUGCUAAUAAUAGUAUACAAAUAUAUUUUGCAUAAAACUGAAUUAGCUUAAUUAAUAUAUGCCUAAAUUACUAUUAUUAGAAUGGAAUUCAAUUCCAGUGAUCCAAACGGGGCGUUAUAGGAAAUGAUUAAGUCCAUUUCCCUUUCACCGCGUACUAAGGAACCGAGCAGCCGGACCCAUGGGACCAUACCCAUAUGAUGAGACCAUUGGCCUCGAGACCCGCUCCCCACUCAGGAAUAGGUCCGGUGCUUCUACAUUGGCUAAUUAACUAGGAAAGCUAGUGGAUGACUACCUUACCCGAUAGGGGCAAGGGCAGUAGGGGAGUGGUCAGUGUAGGGAGGUCCUUGGGUUGAUUUUGCUGCGACGGCGGUCAGGUGAGGGAUCCCUGCACUGGAGCUUCCUAUAAACUGUAGCGGGUUUUCUGAAGCUAGUGGAACUUUGUAAAGGCCUCGUAGUGUUACCCUGCCUCGCCUCCUCAGUAGAGGUGUAUGGGAUUGGUCGUCUUUUGGUAUAUGGGUAACAUGACUUGUGGGUAAAGAUGCGCAACCUCUGUAGAGUGUAAAACUGGUAUACUAGCCGUGCUCACGGUCAUGAGCAGCUCGGACCCUCACAUGAUUAAUCUAUGGAAUUAAAACUCAAUUUGUCAUUUGCAUCACUUUGGGAUUAUUUUAUUAUUACUUUUAUUUAUUAUUACUAUGGUUUGGUAUUUACUUACACUUAGUAAUUGCUAAUAAAAUUUUGGCCAACUUAUAAAAAGCAAUGCUCAGCUUCAACCUUUAUUUUGUUGAUCAGUCUUACACUUCACAUGAACUCCCACCUUUAGUGAGUUCAUGCACAUUAUUCCCCACAACUUGUUGAGCGUAGUGACCAUUGAGCAUUGAUAUAAGAAUGAAUAACUUUCUCAAUGGUUUAUUUUUUCUUUUAUUUAUCUGAAUAUUCAUUCCAUUUAGACCAUUCGCAAGCAAGCACGAAAAAGCUUCUAUUUCUAAACGGAAACGCUCAAUACAUCGAAACUCAUUACCCAUGGGCAAAGCCAGUCGAGAAAAAAGAAAACAAACAUGGUUUAGCGGAUUCGGAAUUGUAACCAAGCAUCCUGGGUAAUGAGUAGUGAUUGUUUGCGUGCACUGUUCACUUCAUUGUUUGCUUUUGCAGGCAACCUUUGCACGUAGUGAUCAUUGCUCUGCUGGCUCACCGGACAUGUCCGAUGCACACCGGACAGUCCCGUGAAUUAUAGCGGAGCGCGCCUAGAGAAUUCCCGAGAGUGGCUGGUUUGCUUGUGCGCGGGUCUGGUGCACCGGACACUGUCCAGUGCGCCAAAGGCAGCACACUCUCAAGUCCUUUGCUCCAAAUUUGUUUGUGUCCCCAACUGAAUUUCUUUCAUGGUUUGUGUUGAACCUUAUGCACCUGAGAUAAAUGACAUCUAGCCAAACUAGUUAGUCCACGUGGUUUGUGAUGGACGUCAACCACCAAAAUCGAUUAUAGGAAAUGAUUAAGUCCAUUUCCCUUUCACCGCGUACUAAGGAACCGAGCAGCCGGACCCAUGGGUCCAUACCCAUAUGACGGGACCAUUGGCCUUGAGACCCGCUCCCCACUCAGGAAUAGGUCCGGUGCUGCUACGUGUCCUAGGGGUGGAAUUGUCCACUGACUACUACUAUAAGUCUGGACCCCCCAGGUGGUUCCUAAGCCUCCACGUAUGAUGUCUAGACCCCCGCAAGCGGGUCCCAGACCGCCACAUGUGCCAUCUGGACUCCUAGCACGGGGCCCUAGGUCUUCAAGCUAGCAUGUGCUCUUGGCCCCCACUCUCCGCUCAGGAAGAGGUCCGAAACUGCCAUGUGGCUCGGCGCGUGACACAAGCCUUCGGUUGAAAGCAAGCUUGCCUGCCUGCAUUUAAUGCAAGCGGCUAAGGCGUGCUUUACUGUGCAUAGAGCAUGGGUAGGCUUUUGUCAGGCUGCACAGGACCGAAUGACUGUUUCACAUGUUACCAAAGCAAAUAGUGUUGUCGGCGUGCCGAGUGCUGACGGACCGCAUAGUAAGCCACGCGUUACCAAGGUAGACCUUUGUGUCUCGACACCACGCGCUUGGGUGGUGCCAUCAUGAGUAGCUGUUGCUAGGGAUGGCAAUCAAGUGGGUAGUAUGCACAUAUAUAGUUCGUGAAUCCAUACCCGCGAGACAAAACUCAACCCAUACCCGUACCCAUAAAUGUUCGUGGGUAUGAAUCUCUACCCAUACCCGUACCCACCGGGUAUCCGCUAUCCGGCGGAUACCCGUUACCCGCCCGCCCACUACGAUUUUAGCAUUCAACAUCAAACAACAAUUUUAUCACAUUUCAAAAACAAUUAUCAUUCCAUCAUCAUCAAAUGACAAUUUCAGCACCAAUCAACAUGUCAUAGAUAAAAGUUGAAAAAAAUAGAAUUUAGGAAAAUAUAUUAAAUCUAGAUGGCCCAUAUGUCAGAUAUCCAUUGGAUAACGGGUAUGGAUACUGGAUAUCCAUACCCACGAAAAAUUUAUCUGCGGAUACAUUGUUAUAUCCAUAAUUGUACCCACAGAUACCAAAUUUCACCAUACCCAUAUCCAAUGGAUAAUUAUCCACGGUUAUUUACCCAUACCCGUACCCAUUGCCAUCCCUAGCUGUUGCCUUAGACAAAGCGCGCAUAGGUCAUUCACAUUAACUCUGUCGCACAUCAGCAUGGUUAGUCCCUACAUACGUCAGCAUAUCAGACUCCACACCAUAACUGACUCGAGCCAGCAGACGGGGCGGGGGCACGUUUGGUCAAAAGAUUCGCACUUUGACAGAAGGGGAAAAUCUCCAUCUGCCAUGUCACUUAAAACUCCCAGGUGUACAUUAGUUAACACUGGUUCGCUGGACCGACCUGUCGGGGCUCAACACCUUUGUACGUGCCCCUCUAGGACUAUAAAAGGGAGCAUGGCCAGUCCCUACAUACGUUAAUAACCGACUCGAGCCAGCAGACGGGGCGAGGACACGUCUGGUCGAAAGAUCCGCACGACAACAGAAGGGGAAGAUCUCUAUCUACCACAACACUUAAGACUACACGGUGUACAUUACUUAACACUAGUUCGUUGGGCCGACCGUCGGGACUCAACACCUUUGUACAUGCUCCCUAGGACUAUAAAAGGGAGGGGACAUGUGAUGCAAAAGGACAUGUACUCUCGAACUCAGACUCAAUCAGUAGUUGUUUUUUUCACUAACAAUUACUGUGCUAAUUGAUAAUUUCUAAAGCUGAGCGAUGAAUGACUGAAAGAGCAUAAUGUUAGUAAUUACUGAACGUUCCACCAGUAAUUACCGAACGUAUCUUCACUACUGAAGUGAUAAAUUACAGAAUGUGUCAUCAAUAAUUGUUAUUUUUGCACUAACAAUUAAUGUGUUCGUUGAUAAUUAAUGAAAUUGAAUGAUGAAUGACUGAAAUAGCACAAAUUACUGAAAGAUGACGUGCCGAGUGGAGCGACGCGCGGGAGUCACGGGUGGGCACACGCAGCUUGUAGUCCGUUAGUGAAUUUUGGACCCAUAAUGAAAGUCGCCUAGAGGAGGGUGAAUAGGCGAAACCUAAAAUUUAUAAACUUAAACUUGCACUAAGGUCGGGGUUAGCGUUAGAAUUAAAUUGGAGUGCGAAAGACAGUUCUCUUUGCUUAGAGUUGCCCAAUCAAUGCGGAUGGUCUUUGGGAGCAAACUCAAAUCAAUAUGAGCAAAGGAACUUGUAGAGAGGGAAAACAAAUCAAGUGAAGAUUGACGAGUGAACAUGGUGAUUUGUUUUACCGAGGUUCGGUUCCAAAGAACCUAGUCCUCGUUGAGGAGGCCACAAAGGCCGGGUCUAUUUCAACCCUUUCCCUCUCUCAAUCGGUCACUCAGACCGGUUGAGUGCUUCUUCUUAAUCUCACGGGUCAGUAAGUCCCCGCAAGUAUCACCACACAAUUAGGUAUCUCUUGCAAACUUUACAAAACACUUAGAGAGUUUAGAGAGAGAGAUGAAGAAAGCACGAUUGCGAAAACCAAGCAACAAGAGCGACAAAUAACACACGGAUCACACUCUCUCAAGUCACUAAUGAUCACUUGUCUAAAUUGUGAAACUUUGAGAGGUUGAAAGCUUUGAGUGUGUCUUGGAGUGGACUGCUAGCUCUUGUAUUGAAUGUGAAGGAGUGGGGUGCUUGGGUUGAGUGAAUGGAGGUGGUUGGGGUUGUAUUUAUAGCCUCCAACCACUUCCUAGCCGUUGCUUCAUUCCUGCCGACCGCAGACGGUCUACGCCCCUGGUUCGGACGGUCCGCCCCUGCACAUCAACGAUUGAAAUCGCAACGGUCAGCAGUAACAACUAUAUCAACGGCUAUAGAGCAUUUAAUGCGUCAUCAGAUGUCAGAUAAAGCAGUCGCGGACGGUCCGGCCGUGCACCCCGGACGGUCCGCGAGGAUGCUAAAAAUGAAUUUUACCGAACCCAUCACCUUCGGGUUUUUCUGGUUUUUUCAACGACCUAACGGUCCGCGCCCCUAGUCCGGACGGUCCACGCCCCUAGUCCGGACGGUCCGCCCCUGCACAUCAACGACUGAAAUCGCAACGGUCGGUAGUAACGGCUAUAGAGCAUUUAAUGCGUCGUCAGAUGUCAGAUAAAGCAGUCGCGGAUGGUCCGGCCGUGCACCCCGGACGGUCCGCGAGGACGCUAAAAAUGAAUUUUACCGAACCUGUCACCUUCGGGUUUUUUCUGGUUUUUUCAACGACCGAACGGUCCGCGCCUGAGGCCGGACAGUCCGUGCUUGGUCUUGGAUGGUGCUUGCUUCUCCAUCGAACGAUACGUAGUGUUGACUUGCGUUUUUUGCAGUGUUCCUGUCCGAGGCUCACCUUGAUGUCGCGGACGGUCCGCCGCAAGGGCCCGGACGGUCCGUGCAUAGGUGUUUUUCUAAAAAGCUUCUCCUGUCCGGAAAGUCGACUUAGAAUAGUUGUAUAUGGACUUAUGCACCUGAGAAAUGAUUAACUAGGCAAACUGUUUAGUCCACAAGGUUUGUGAUGGUCGUCAAACACCAAAAUCGAUUAUAGAAAAUGUUGAGGUUAUUUCCCUUUCACAUAACAAUUUGGCGGGAUGGCUGGUUUGCUUGAUGGGACGUUUGACUAUGUCGGUACCCUGAAACUAGGGUACCCCUUGCUACUGUAUAAAGACGCAGUACCCACGCGGAUAUCUCUUAGUCGCGUAGUAAAGGUGCUGUGUGUGGGACCGAGCCAUGACUCGUCCCAGCCUCGGGCGACUACUCUGGGUCCACAAUAGCGCCUGACCUCACCACAAGGGCGGGUCCGGAGCCGCCAUGUGUCCAGAGAAAGUGAUAUACCACAAAGCCUCAACAGUGAGUCCGGACCCCCAUGGUAGAGUGCCGGACCCCUGGAUAUAAAGUCCAGACCUCCAAGGUUGGUCCAGGACCUCCACGUGUGCAAGUCGGACCACUAGAAUGGGAUCCGGACCCCUCGUAUGAGGUCCGGGCCGCCCACAAUGGGGUCCCAAGGUCCCAGGAUAGAACAUACUCAGGCCUUGAACAGGACUCAGGCGGGGGUCCGGUGCCGACACGUAUCCGGAACUAGUCUGGUGGGUUCCGGACCUGUCUGCAUACACUCCUGCCCCCCGCUCAGGUGGAGACCCAUUGCAGCCACGUGGCAUACUGCGUGCGGCUUAAGCCAACGGGCAGAACCUAGCAUGACGCCUCUGGGCUAUGCGCGCCUCCACAUUCAUUACGGAUAACACGUGCGCCUGUCCAUUCCACUGACAGGUGGCAUGCACAGUCCACGAUACGUGGGCCGUGCUAUUAUUUACCAUUACUCGUACAUUUCGGCUAUCAAUGCUGCAUGGACUAUGGUCAUCAAGACUCCUGGUGAUUGCUCAGGCAUUACUAGCAUUAAUUACUCACAUAAUGUAUUCCUUCUGUUAUGCUCCUGGGCCCGCAUGUCGGGGCUCAGCAUUCUUGUAUGUGCCUUCCCUUAGACAAUAAAAGCGAAGGCACACAACGUUACAAGGACAGGCUCUCAAGCACACAGACAUAAGCUCAUACUCAUACUCAAUAUAGCAUACACACAGUGGAGGUAAGGUAUUACGCUCCGACGGACUGAAACACUCUAAACCCUCAUGUCCUCGUGUGUUCAUCCAUCUUCCAAUAGACAGGCAAAACGCUUAAGCCCCCUCCUCAUCUUAGGAUUAGGGCGGGUGCGUUCCGCCACCCGGGCGGAGGAUUUUCUCUCCGACAUUUGGCGCGCCAGGUAGGGGCUUUGGCAUUAGGUUUUUCCCUGUUUCCUUGCUCGACACGAUGGUUCAAAUCGUCGAGCAUCGUGACUUCGUUCCCAAGGACUUUCCAAUGGAGGAAGAGGUUGCAUCUUCUAUGCCAUGGGGCUCCAACUGCCCUGCACCUGGUGCUGCUGCUGUGUGCGCUCCACAGCAGCACACGCGUGCGCAGACAUCCUGGGCUCUGUCAAGGGCUGCUCCUGGGGCGUUGUCUGCAACCAGGGAGUUGUUAUGCCACCCUCCAAGUUCCACGGCCUCGCCGGGGGCCAUGAAGCAGUGACAUGACGAUGUCGACCGUCUCCUCGGCAUGGCGCAUUCUGGCUCGGCCAGACCCAGGCCUCGGUCAUUUCGGCGUCAACAUGAGGCAUCGGCGUCAGUGCGCUCACCCUCAGUGAAGGCCGCACCGACUGAGGACCUGCGGGCAGGGCUCAACCGUAGGCGUGCGGGUGAGGAUGUUCCAAUCUCUCUAGAGAGGCCUGGUGACCUGUGGGCAGAACUCAACCAUAGGCGUGCGGGCGAGGACGCACGAGUCUCUUUGGAGAGGGCGCGUGAGCGCUGGCUAAACUUCGAGGGUCACAACCUCGACCAGGACUUCGCUCCGCUUGCGCCAUAAACUCCAAGGGGUGCCCGAAUCCACAUGGGUGUCCCAUUGGUCGGCGUGGGCUGUGCCGCGCUAGCGGAUCACCUCCACGCGGCGACUUGGCUGCCCAAGUUCUGGCCGCACCUACCGGAGAAGUAUGACGGUACGUCAAACCCGUCGGAAUUCUUGCAGGUCUACGUCACCGCCAUUACGACAGCCGGUGGAAACACUGUCGUAAUGGCGAGUUACUUCCAUGUAGCCUUGACCGGCCCGGCCCGGAUCUGGCUCAUGAACCUGACCCCGGGAUCCGUCUACUCCUGGGAGGAGCUCUGUGCACGGUUCACAGUGAACUUUGCUAGUGCUUAUCAACAGCAUAGCGUGGAGGCUCAUCUCCAUGCCGUAAGGCAAGAACCCGGGGAGACCCUCCAGGCUUUCAUUGCUCGCUUCACCAAGGUACGAGGGACUAUACCUCGUAUCUCCGAUGCCUCCAUUAUCACUGCUUUCCGACAGGGGGUGCGUGAUGAGAAGAUGUUAGAGAAGCUAGCGACGCAUGACGUGGAAACCGUCACCAUGCUCUUCGCUCUGGCCGACAAAUGUGCUAGAGCUGCCGAGGGUCGUGCAUGGCACUUAGCACCACAGACCGGAGUUACCCAGACGGGUGGCUCGGGAGCCGUCACCCAGGGCAGCAACAACAAGAAGAAGAAAAACCGCGGCCACGAGAGGCCGCAGUCUGCUGCUCCGAUCGUCGCAGCUGCGACUGGGGGCCGGAACGAGCGCGGCAAGCACCCACGACCAUAGGGGGCCAACAGUGGGUCAUGCCCUGUGCAUCCCAACAGUCACCACAGCGCCUCGGAAUGCCGCGAGAUCAUCAAGCUCGCGAAGCGCAUCAGCGAGCGGCGCGAGAAGGCUUCCAAGGAUGGCUCGCCGCCUCGUCGCUGACCUAGCAAGGAGAAGGUCGACGAAGGUGACGCGACCACGGGAGAACGGGACCUCGGGUAUCAGUCACCUGAGGGGGUCCUCAAGGACGUUUUCACUGGAGACUCUGACUCUGGUGACGACAACGACCAUCGCAAGAAGCUGUACGUGAUGUACGGCGGGAGCUAAAAGCUCACCUCUCGCAGGAACGUCAAGUCCCUGCGCCGAGAGGUCCUUUCGGCGGUCCCAAGGGUCCCGAAGGCUGCUCCACAUCAGCGGUGGAGGAGCACCACUAUCUCCUUCGGGGCAUCUGACUACCUCGAAAACAUGGCAGGGGCUGGUAUACUACCGCUCAUCAACGCCCCUGUCAUCGCCAACAUGCGGCUGCGGUGUCUUGUACUCAUCAAGCAUGGUUCUUGCCAUGUCCAAUAGAGUUCGAUUCUUCCUCUCCACUACACCAUUUUGUUGUGGAGUGUAGGGAGAAGAGAACUCAUGCUUGAUGCCCUCCUCCUCAAGGAAGCCUUCUAUUUGUGAGUUCUUGAACUUCGUCCCGUUGUCGCUUCUAAUUUUCUUGAUCCUUAAGCCGAACUCAUUUUGAGCCUAUCUCAAGAAUCCCUUUAAGGUCUCUUGGGUAUGAGAUUUUUCCUGCAAAAAGAACACCCAAGUGAAGCGAGAAUAAUCAUCCACAAUAACUAGACAGUACUUACUCCCGUCGAUGCUUAUGUAAGCGAUCGGGCCGAAUAGGUCCAUGUGUAGGAGCUCCAGUGGCCUGUCACUAGUCAUGAUGUUCUUGUGUGGAUGAUGAGUGCCAACUUGCUUCCCGGCUUGGCAUGCGCUACAAAUCCUGUCUUUCUCAAAAUGAACAUUGGUUAGUCCUAAAAUGUGUUCUCCCUUUAGAAGCUUAUGAAGAUUCUUCAUUCCAACAUGGGCUAGUCGGCGGUGCCAGAGCCAACCCAAGUUAGUCUUAGCAAUUAAGCAAGUGUCGAGUUCAGCUCUAUCAAAAUCUACCAAGUAUAGCUGACCCUCUAACACUCACUUAAAUGCUAUUGAAUCAUCACUUCUUCUAAAGACAGUGACACCUACAUCAGUAAAUAGACAGUUGUAGCCCAUUUGACAAAGUUGCGAAACAGAAAGCAAAUUGUAAUCUAAAGAGUCUACAAGAAAAACAUUGGAAAUAGUAUGGUCAGGUGAUAUAGCAAUUUUACCCAAUCCUUUGACCAAACCUUGAUUUCCAUCCCCGAAUGUGAUAGCUCGUUGGGGAUCUUGGUUUUUCUCAUAUGAGGAGAACAUCUUCUUCUCCCCUGUCAUGUGGUUUGUGCACCCGCUGUCGAGUAUCCAACUUGAGCCCCCGGAUGCAUAAACCUACAAAACAAUUUUAGUUCUUGAUUUUAGGUACCCAAACGGUUUUGGGUCCUUUGGCAUUAGAAACAAGAACUUUGGGUACCCAAACACAAGUUUUGGAGCCCUUGUGUUUGCCCCCAACAAACUUGGCAACUAUCUUGCCGGAUUUGUUAGUUAAAACAUAAGAUGCAUCAAAAGUUUUAAAUGAAAUAGCAUGAUCAUUUGAUGCAUUAGGAGUUUUCUUUCUAGGCAACUUGGCACGGGUUGGUUGCCUAGAGCUAGAUGUCUCACCCUUAUACAUAAAAGCAUGAUUAGGGCCAGAGUGAGACUUCCUAGAAUGAAUUUUCUUAAUUUUGCUCUCGGGAUAACCGGCAGGGUACAAAAUGUAACCCUCGUUAUCCUGAGGCAUGGGAGCCUUGCCCUUAACAAGGUUAGACAAGUUUUUAGGAGGGGCAUUAAGUUUGACAUUGUCUCCCCUUUGGAAGCCAAUGCCAUCCUUGAUGCCAGGGCGUCUCCCAUUAUAGAGCAUACUUCUAGCAAAUUUAAACUUUUCAUUUUCUAAGUUAUGCUCGGCAAUUUUAGCAUCUAAUAUUGCUAUAUGAUCAUUUUGUUGUUUAAUUAAAGCCAUGUGAUCAUGAAUAGCAUUGAUAUCAAUAUCUCUACAUCUAGUACAAAUAGAAGUGUGCUCAACGGUAGAUGUAGAGGGUUUGCAAGAUUUUAAUUCCACAACCUUAGCAUGUAGUAUAUCAUUCUCAUUUCUAAGAUUAGAAAUAGUAACAUUGCAAACAUCAAAAUCUUUAGUCUUAGCAAUUAAUUUUUUAUUUUCAGUCCUAAGGCUAGCAAGGGAAUCAUUCAAUUCCUUAAUCUUAGCAAGCAAAUCAUCAUUAUCAUUUCUAAGAUUGGGAAUUGAAGCAUCACAAACAUGAGAAUCAACCUUAGCAAUUAAUCUAGCAUUUUCAUUUCUAAGGUUGUCUAUAGUCUCAUGGCAAGUGCUUAGCUCACUAGACAAUUUUUCACAUUUUUCAACUUGUAGAGCAUAAGCAUUUUUUACCUUAACAUGCUUUUUGUUUUUCUUAAUAAGGAAGUCCUCUUGAGAGUCCAAGAGAUCAUCCUUCUCAUGAAUAGCACUAAUCAAUUCAUUUAAUUUUUCCUUUUGUUGCAUGUUUAGGUCGGCAAAAAGGGUACGCAAAUUAUUUUCCUCAUCACUAGCAUUAUCAUCACUAGAGGAUUCAUAUUUAGUGGAGGAUUUAGAUUUAACCUUCUUCCUUUUGCCAUCCUUUGCCAUGAGGCACUUAUGGCCGACGUUGGGGAAGAGGAGUCCCUUGGUGACGGCGAUGUUGGCGGCGUCCUCGUCGGAGGAGGACUCGGUGGAGCUCUCGUCGGAGUCCCACUCCCGGCAAACAUGGGCAUCACCGCCCUUCUUCUUGUAGUACUUCUUCUUUUCUUUCCUCUUUCCCUUCUUGUCGUCGCCCCUGUCACUGUCACUAGACAUAGGACAUUUUGCAAUAAAAUGAUCGGGCUUACCACAUUUGUAGCACACUUUCUUGGAGCGGGGUUUGUAGUCCUUCCCCUCCGGUGCUUGAGGAUUUGGCGAAAGCUUUUGAUGAUUAAAGCCAUCUCCUUAUUGUCGAGCUUGGAGGCAUCAAUUGGUUGUCUACUCGGUGUAGACUCCUCCUUCUUCUCCUCCGUCGCCUUGAACGCCACCGGUUGAGCUUCGGACGUGGAGGGUUCGUCAAGCUCAUUGAUCUUCUUUGAGCCUUUAAUCAUACAUUCAAAGCUCACAAAAUUCCUGAUAACUUCCUCGGGAGUCAUUAGUGUGUAUCUAGAAUUACCACGAAUUAAUUGAACUUGAGUGGGGUUAAGGAAAAUAAGAGAUCUUAGAAUAACCUUAACCACCUCGUGGUCGUCCCACUUCUUACUCCCGAGGUUGCGCACUUGGUUCACCAAGGUUUUGAGCCGGUUGUACAUAUCUUGUGGCUCUUCCCCUUGGCGAAGACGAAAGCGACCGAGCUCCCCCUUGAUCGUUUCCCGCUUGGUGAUCUUGGUGAGUUCAUCACCCUCGUGUGCGGUCUUGAGAAGGUCCCAAAUUUCCUUUGCAUUCUUCAACCCUUGCACCUUGUUGUAUUCCUCCUUGCUUAGAGAGGCGAGGAGUAUGGUUGUGGCUUGGGAGUUGAAGUGCUCGAUUUGGGCCACUUCGUCCGUAUCAUAGUCUUCAUCCCCUACGGAUGGUACCUGUGCUCCAAACUCAACAACAUUCCAUAUACUUUUGUGGAGUGAGGUUAGAUGAAAUUUCAUUAAAUCACUCCACCUAGCAUAAUCUUCGCCAUCAAAAGUUGGCGGUUUGCCUAAUGGAACGGAAAGUAAUGGAGUAGGUCUAGAUGUACGAGGGUGUAAGGGGAUCUUACUAAACUUCUUGCGCUCUUGGCGCUUAGAAGUUACGGACGGCGCAUCGGAGUCGGAGGUCGAUGUUGAUGAAGUGUCAGUCUCGUAGUAGACCACCUUCCUCAUCCUCUUGUGCUUGUCGCCUUUCCGAUGCGACUUGUGGGAAGAAGAUUUUUCCUUCUUCUCUUUGUGGUGUGAGGAAGAUCUUUUCUCCUUCUGUUUGGAGGAGUCCUUCUUCUUCUCCUUCCUCUUGGUGCGGGACUCUUCCGAUGAAGUGCUCCCUUGGCUUGUAGUGGGCUUGUCGUCGGUCUCCAUCUCCCUCUUGGUGUGAUCUCCCGACAUCACUUCGAGCGCUUAGGCUCUAAUGAAGCACCGGGCUCUGAUACCAAUUGAAAGUCGCCUAGAGGGGGGUGAAUAGGGCGAAACUGAAAUUCUCAAAAAUAAUCACAACUACAAGCCGGGUUAGCAUUAGAAAUAUAAUCGAGUCCGCGAGAGAGGGUGCAAAACAAAUCGCAAGCGAAUAAGAAGUGUGACACGCGGAUUUGUUUUACCGAGGUUCGGUUCUCGCAAACCUACUCCCCGUUGAGGAGGCCACAAAGGCCGGGUCUCUUUCAACCCUUACCCUCUCUCAAACGGUCCCUCGGAUCGAGUGAGCUUUCUCUUCUCAAUCACUUGGAACACAAAGUUCCCACAAGGACCACCACAAGAUUGGUGUCUCUUGCGUCAAUUACAAGUGAGUUUGAUCGCAAUGAAGAAUCAAAGAAAGAAGAAAGCAAUCCAAGCGCAAGAGCUCGAAAGAACACAAGCAAAUCUCUCUCUCUAAUCACUAGGGCGUUGUGUAGAAUUUGGAGAGGAUUUGAUCUCUUUGGUGUGUCUAGAAUUGAAUACUAGAGCUCUUGUAAGUAGUUGAGAAGUAGAAAACUUGGAUACCAUGAAUGGUGGGUGGUUGGGGGUAUUUAUAGCCCCAACCACCAAACUAGCCGUUUGGUGAGGCUGUCUGUUCGAUGGCGCACCAGACAGUCCGGUGCACACCGGACAUGUCCGGUGCGACAGCCACGUCACCAAUGCCGUUGGGUUCCGACCGUUGGAGCUCUGACUUCUGGGCCCGCCUGGAUGUCUGGUGGCGCACCGGACAUGCACUGUAGAUUGUCCGGUGCGCCAGUAUGGGCGUGCCUGUCCUCUGCGCGCGCAGCGCGCGCAUUUAAUGCGUCGCAGGUAGCCGUUGGCGCCGAAAUAGCCGUUGCCCCGCUGUUACACCGGACAGUCCGGUGUACACCGAACAGUCCGGUGAAUUUUAGCGGAGCAGCUGGAAUGAAUUACCGAGGCUGGCGAGUUCCGGAGGCCGCUCUUCCUUGAAGCACCGGACAUGUCCGGUGUACACCGGACAGUCCGGUGUACACCGGACAGUCCGGUGAAUUAUAGCGGAGUCGCCUCUGGAAUUUCCCGAAGGUGACGAGUUUGAAUUCAGAGUCCUUUGGUGCACCGGACAUGUCCGGUGGCACACCGGACAGCCCGGUGCGCCAGACCAGAGGUGCCUUCGGUUGUUCCUUUGCUCUUUUGUCAAACCCAAUACUUGGUCUUUUUAUUGGCUAAGUGUGAACCUUUGGCACCUGUAUAACUUAUACACUAGAGCAAACUAGUUAGUCCAAAGAUUUGUGUUGGUCAAUUCAACCACCAAAAUUAAUUAGGAACUAGGUGUAAGCCUAAUUCCCUUUCAAAAAGAUCAACAUCAAAUUUUAUACAUAUCUAUUUUAAAAUAUUAAAUUUGUUCUAACAGUUCGGAUUAUCACUUUCAUCCCUAAGGUAUUCUAUGUCCUUAAUCUCGUCUUUAUGGCAAGAAAUACUAAGAUUCCUUUAAACUUGGCGUCAUCUAGAAAACACUAAGAAAACUAACACCUGAACCACUCCCUCUGUCCAAAUUAGUUGUAAGAUAUUUUUUUUGUUGCCAGGAUCCUUAAUUUUCUCUGAAAAUCGCUUGGGUAUUGUAUUUUAGGACGAAUGGAGUAUACAAAUAACAUACAAUCAUGUGGCAGUGAGGAGGAAAACUAAAAACUGGCUAGGAAUUAGGACUAGUACGUGUAGUAAUCGUGUCAUGUGUUUCCGAUGCAUAUAGGUUUCAUAAAAUAAAUUUUAUCCAUGUCAUCUGCUGAAAGUUGAAGCGUUCGUCGUUGUACAGAUGAGAGGCAAACAAGUAUAUAUAUAUAGCCGGCAGCCAGGCAAAAGCUAAGCUAGUAACACACGGUAUGUAAUAAUUAAUUAAGGGAGAGCCAUCUCGAAACAUGCAUAUAUAGAAAUUAUUUUUCCUCAGAUCUCGCCGUCAAGCAUACAUGCAUUAUCUCAGACUUCGCAGUGGCGAGCUCGAUCGAUAUAUAUGAUGACUAGCAUCAGUACUAAAAUAGUAUUGUAUCAGGGACACACGUACGGCAUCGACCAGAGCACCAUGCAUGGUCCAUGGAUCAUAUCAUCAUUAUCAUGGCUUCAUGGGAUGGGAAUGGAUCGGAGUACGUGCUUAACCAUGAUCAGUACACACGUAUCUCUCGGAGGGGCGGCGGUAUCCCGGGUGAUGGCCGGGCGAUUAAUUAGUAGCUGUAGUUCUUGACGAACAUUCCCUCCUUGGCCUCGGCGGCCUCGCCGUCGGAGGUGUACUUGCCGAGCUGCGCCAGGGAGUUGGCCUUGGCGCGCAGCAGCAGCGCGUCCUGCGCCGCCUUGACCUUGUCCGGCUGGCCGCCCCAGGUCUUGAGGCAGGUGUUCUGCAGCGCCCGCGCGUAGGAGAAGGACACGUGCCACGGGUUGGGCCCCUGGUUCAUGGCGUUGAGGUUCUGCGUCGCCUCCACCUCCGACUGCCCGCCGGAGAGGAACAUGAUCCCGGGCACGGAGGGGGGGAUCCGGCGGUGGAGGAGCUUGAGGGUGUACGCGGCCACCUGCUCCGGGGUGGCCCUGUCCUUGGCCUCCGCGCCGGGCGUCACCAUGGACGGCUUCAGCAGGAUGCCCUCGAACAUGACGUUGUUCUCCGCCAUGGCGUAGAAGGUUUCGGCCCACACCUUCUGCGCCACCUCGAACGUGCGCUCGAUGCCGUGCUCGCCGUCCAGCAGGAUCUCCGGCUCCACGAUCGGCACAAGCCCGUUGUCCUGCAUGCAUGAAGGUCAUGGCAUGCAGGUUGCAGCCAAUAAUAAUGGCAGGAGUAGAAACCAAAUAAACCAACCAACCUGUGAGAUGGCGGCGUAGCGUGCGAGCCCCCACGCGGCCUCCUUGACGGCGAGCUCGGAGGGGCCGUUAGGGAUGCUGACGACGGUGCGCCACUUGGCGAACCGCGCGCCCUGCUGGUAGUAGGCGGCCUCGCGGGACGCCAGGCCGUCCAGGCCCUGGCACCACGACUCGUUGUUGGAGCCGGCGAGCGGGACAAGGCCCUUGUCCACCUUGAUCCCCGGCACGAUGCCCUGCUCCGCCAGGAUGUCCACGAUCUUGCGGCCGUCGACGGCGGACUGGUACAGCGUCUCCUCGAAGAGGAUGGCGCCGGAGAUGUACUGGCCCAGGCCCGGCGCCGUGACCAGCAGCGUGCGGUACGCCUGCCGGUUGGCCUCCGUGUUCUCCAGCCCGAUGGACGCCAGCCGCUUCCCGCACGUCGCGUUCGACUCGUCCAUCGCCAGGAUGCCCCGCCCCGGCGACGCGAUCGUUUUCUGUCCACACAUACGUACGUACGUACGUAUACACAGCAUGCACACACGCACACUUGAGUUCGACAGCCGGAGGAGGAAGAUGAAGAGAUUAACCUAAGUACGAUCGAUGGAGCGUAUAGUACGUACCGCGGUCUUCACGAGCUCAUCGGCGUAGGCGGAGGCGCGGACGACCAUGGAGACGGUGGGCGGCCUGGGCGCGGCGGCCUGCCUGGUGGCGCCCCAUUCGGACUUCUUGGGAAGGAAGGAGGACUUGAGCACGGUGGCAGAGGCCAUCGAUCUCUUGUUGCUGUCACUCCUAAACUUGUGAAGAAGACUUGUGGUAUGGCGGUAUCCUAGCUAGCGAGGAUCGGAGCUCAGCUAGCUCGAUCACUCACUCACACUCAGGCUACCAGCCAGUGACACCGCAAGUUUCAGGUUCACUUGACACUCGUCUUCUUCUCCUUCCUUACCUUAGAGGGUGAGAGCAUCUCCCAUAUAUAAACAAGGAGGAGGCCUGCAGCACACCUGGCUAACCACGGCGCGCAACAGCACAAGGGGAUAUGAGUUGUGAGGCCGAGGUUGCCCUCUGGAUUUCAGUGGCUGACGCGUCUUGCUGCCUGCCUCUCACUGCCUAGCUUGGCUCCAAUCCAAUCCUGUUGCUGUCACCAAUCACAAGCUUUUCUUUUGUCCUGAUCUUCUUCAUGCUGGGGCUGCUGGCACACCACCAUCUUUUCUGUAAUUUCCGUCCUGUUUCACCUCUGCGACUCUGCAUUGUAUGGUUAAAACAAAAAGGGUUAAAGCUGCAACCAACGACGGGCCCUGCUGCGUGCAGCUCUGCCAUGGGGAGUUGCUCGCCUAGAAAAGGGGUCGCCGGGACGGACAGGGACCUGCAGCAGGUUCUGUGGACGCACCUCGCCAGCCACUGCCGCCCGCCUGCGGUGGGUGAUCUCUGAUCUCCCAUCCGUGGAUCGGUUCGCACGCUCGGCUUGGCAACGGCGGCCGUAGUUUUUUUUUCUUUUCCUCGGCGGGUCUCUUGGGGGCUUGUGGCGAUGGCAACGCCCCUGCUAGCUGCUGCGACUUGUUUGUUUGCCGUGUGCUUCGUCAGGUCUCAGGCACCGACACCAGGCUGCUGCUCUGGCUCAACUAAAGAACAAGAACGGGCAUUCAGGACAGUCCAAGAAACCAUGUUGCAGUCCUGCCUGCAGAUCAUCUUGUGCCACGACAAAUGAUACAGUGACCUUCGUAUACGGAAGAGGACGAACUGUUCCUAUCUUUCAUUUGGUUUACAUUACAUCCAAGAAAUCACAUACAACUGUGCUGUCAACAAGACUACAAGAGUAAAUAUCUCUGCAGACUGCAGGAACACCUGGAGCACAUCACUGGUUUAAGCACGCCAUCAAUGCAUCUUCUGAUGUUCUUUCACCACAUCUAAGCAAUGCGAAACAUACACAGCAAAGGCCGAAGACAUACACGUACUUUGUCACGUGAACGCAAGCAGGCAAGGAUGAAGACAAAUGAUGAGUUUUGACAAAUUAUCAAUCAGAAAUAGGUUCAUAGGAACAUGUUUACAAAUCUGUCGAUGCUUCAAACACAGACCUAGGUGCCUACCUUAUGGGGCACCAGCACAUUUUUACACUGACAACAAAAAUCAGUAAUGGUACAAACCUGAAAUCAUCAACAACAAUCGUGACAAGACAACGGGACUCCGUAGUAGCAUAACAUGUCAGCUUCAGCACCUAGGAUUUGUCACUGGGUGCCACAGAAUGCUCUUUCCACUAAAUACUAGUACCACUGAAAAAAAAAUAACCGCUUUUUUCGUGGCACUGGUACUGGGAUCAAGUCUAAUCAAUCCGUGAAAGCUGACGAUGCACGCUAAACUUCAGAUGGGAGCAUCUGGAAAGCAGAAUCCUCUGGUAAAAAAACUAGGUCUCGGCAGGCUUCAAGAGUUCACCAAGAUUCACAUGCAAGCUGUUCCUCAUGGUUCGCCUCCCUGCUCCACCAGUGUUGCCCUUUCUCAUCAUGGCAGCAAAUUCACUAUAAUCAAUCUGUCCAUCCUGGAAAACCAUGUACAAUUUGACAGCACCCAAUUAGAUGAAGAUGAGACAACAGAGAAGUACAGAGAUGGAGACGAAAAAACAAGAAGGAUGAAGAUGACUAACAUUGUUCUGGUCCACAUCUUUGAUCAUGUCCUCAAGAUGAACAUCAGAAAGGCCGAACUGUCCGCAUGCUUGCGAGAGCUCAUCGAUUGUUAUGAAGCCACUCCCAUCCUUAUCGAAGAAUGCGAAUGCCGACACCAAGCUUUCCUCCCUCUCCAGUUUAUUCAUGUGCAACGUAGCCGCUAAGAACUCUCCAUAGUCAAUGGUUCCGCUGUUGUCAAUAUCAGCCUGAUACAGAGGCCAAGCCCAGAUUACAAUCUCAACGAUUUGCAGAAUCGAAGGAUGAUCCAGUACCAGUACAACUAAUUCAUAUGGACAAUACAACACUUGAUAUAAUAGUAGCACUUACUGCAUCCAUUAAAGCCUGGAUUUCAGGUUCCAUCAGAUCUGAGCCCACCUUUUUCAGACCAUCCUUCAGUUCAUCAUAAGUUAUCGUCCCACUGUUGUCAGUAUCGAUCAUUUUGAACAUCUCCUUUAAACCACCAAUCUCCUCCUCAGAUAGACUUUCAGCAAUCACCUGCACGAAUCAAAGACAUGCCUCUGAAAAAAUCAAUUUCCAUGGUCAAUGCAUGUUGCACACAUGCCAUCGUUUCUUAUCAUUUAUCAAGCAUUUUUGCAACCUCAUGACAUGCUUUUUAUAAUUUUAUGUGAGAAACUAGUCAACCUAGAGUUCAAGCAAACAACAUUGCAUAACCCAUAGUGGAAACCUGAGCAUUACUUGCUCUAGUAUUGUGUCAGACAAUUAAGCAAACGCAAAAAAAAAAAAUCUCUUCUCUUCAAAGAAAGAAGAAAAGGAUAACACAUCCUUCUGAACCUCUAUCUUCAAAGCAUUCUUCAAACCACUGUUUUGAAAGUUACCAUUGCUACUAUUUAUGGCAUCCUGCUGCUACCGUUAGGUGGUCUUCAAUCAUGGAUUCAAUAGCUUUUGCUGAUCAGUAGUCAUAGAGUACUGUGGCUGGCAUCCAGAUUCCAGAUCUGGCCGUAGUGCAUCUGAAGGGAUUGGAGACAGCAGGGUUGGGUAUGGGAGGACUGUUCUUUUGGAAAGAAAAAGGUUUCUUGAAUUAUGAAAAGGAGGUGUAGGUGACAUGCAGGAUAGCCUUUUGUUAAUAGUAGGACAUGGAUGAUUAGUGUGGCAGAACUGCCAUACAAAACAACAAUAUGAGGUUAAAUAGCCUGGCUUCCAAAGUUUUGGUUUUUAAGCAGAUGUGUAUAAACUGGCUUCUCUGGAAAAAUAAUGGGGAGUAAUAUGAAUAUAGAAUGAAAGUUAAGUUCACAAAAAACCUAGUUGACAUGGAAAACAAGGGGAAAGAGAAAGGAGAAGUUACAUACAAAGUUAAUACAAGACUAGUAAUAGUUUGUAUGGGAAUGGCAUAAUAGAAAUGAAGCAUAUACCUAGCAUCGCCACUAAAAAAAAUUAAAUCUCAUUUGCAACAUAAUUACGUAUGAAAAAUGGGAUAAAAAGAUCAUACCCUCAAUGCCAUCUUCUUGAGCUUGUUCAUUGCAGAAAAGUUUUUCAGCCUUGACAAAACAGCAGAAUCAAUAGGCUUAUCAGGUGCAACAGCAUCAUCAACAAUCCAUGGAUGGCCUGGCAUAAUGAGUGUCAAUAAAAAUGGUACAGGAGCGCAAGCAUGAAUAUGAAAUCUAAGACAGAGAGGGAGGGAAGCCAUGAAGGCAGAAAACUUACAUAGAACCUCAUGAGCAGUCAAUCUCUUCCUAGGAUCCCGGAUUAGCAUCUUACGGACUAGAUCCUUAGCACUAUCAGAGAUACUUGGCCAUGGUUCAGAUUCCAAAUCAAGUUUUCCUCGCAAAAUCUGCCUGAAUAUCCCUGCUUCACUCUCUGAAGGGAGGGGGGGAAAUAGGGAAAAAGGUACACAUGUAAACAUGCCAACAAUGGUAAACAGAAAUGGAUCUCAACCUAGCAAUUCAUUGGGUGGAAUAAUAAACAGCUUACCUGCCCAGAAUGGGGGUACACCACAUAGCAAAAUGUACAAAAUCACUCCAGCACUCCAUACAUCAGCUUCUGGGCCAUAACAUUUUUGAAGCACCUCAGGGGCAACAUAAUAGGGGCUCCCAACAACGUCAGCAAAUUUAUCACCUAGAGAAUGGAAAGGUAUAGCUUUCAGUGUGUGUUUUAUUAAUAACUUAAGCAAGCAGAAGAGAACACUGAAUCGACUGAAGACUUCAUUAAUCACUAUGCAGUACGUUAAUAACAGCUGACAUUUAACACAAAGUGUAUUAAAUGUGUACAAGAAAAGGCAGUUCUUGCCAUCAACCUUGAAAACCUUAUUACUAUUAACGAGGAUUAAGUAAUAGAUGUUAUUAUAGUUUCAAUGUCUGUGAUAGAUUUUUUUUAUGCUAGCAAAAUGAGAUGCUAUGCAAAUGACACUAAUACUUAAUAGGUUUUCUGAUGUACCAAAACAACUAAUAAGAACACUACCCCUUACCAAACGCAAUGCUAGCCGUUUGCCCCACAUAUCACUACGGCAUGAGGGACCACAUCCGCAUAGCAACAUUAUACAGCACAAAAAUUCAAACCAAACAGCACAAACAUCGCAUAGUUACGCACCAGGCUUGUAGAACACGGAGAGCCCAAAAUCAGUGGUCUUGAGCGGGGCAUCCUCGGCAGUGCUCGCGAAGAGGAAAUUCUCCGGCUUGAGGUCUCGAUGCAUGACGCCGAGCGAGUGGCACCCCUGCACCACCCCAACAAUCGUCCUGGUGAGCUGCGCGGCGGCGCGCUCUGUGUAGUGGCCCUUGGCGACGAUGCGGUCGAAGAGCUCGCCGCCGGCGCAGAGCUCCAUGACGAGGUGGACGAAGAGCGCGUCCUCGUAGGCGCCGCGGAUGCGGACGACGUUGGGGUGCUCGGAGAGAUGGUGCAUGAUCUGGAUCUCGCGCCACACGUCCUCGUAGUCCUCGCGGCACAGCAGCUUGCGCUUGGGGAUGGACUUGCACGCGUACUCGGCGCCGUCCGCCUUGCCCACGCACUGGUACGUGGUGCCGAACUGCCCCUGCCCCAGCUUCUUCCCGAUGCGGUAGUGGUCGCGCACGUUGUCCGUCUUAUGCGGCAGCACCGACGCCGGCCGCCCAGCCGACGCCGCCGUCACCGGCGGCGGCAGCCGCGCGUGCGCAUUGGCGCCGCCCGCCUUCCCCCUGCCCGAACCUUGCGGGUCCGGCUGCAUUGCCUUCGGCGGCGGUCCCUCACCGGAUCAAGAACCGUAACCGAACGGGCGUCCUGCCUUUCUUCGGCAAAACGUGGCCAGGCUCGACAACCAAUCAGAAAUGGAAACCUUUUACAACUCCGGGGGCGGUUCUAUGUUACUUUCCGGAUGAAUUUACACCGAUUGAAACCGAACAACUGAAAAGAUCGGAUCUCAGCGCGGGGAACCCUCGCCAAUGGGGAAUCUGGGAAAUGGCUGCCGAAUUGGGCGCGACAAAGGAGCUUUAGCGGAGGUUUAAAUAGGCCUACGCGUGCCGAGGAACGGAGAAGAGAACCAACGGCAAGGCGAAAACACUAAGCAAUGGGGUUGCUCUGUUUUUCUGUUCCCUUUUGGAUUGAUUGAUCGAUUCUUGUGGCGAUUUAAAAAGAGGUCACAUGCGAAGAUUGGAUUUUUCCUCCAUGCGAGGAUGGAAGUCUCAUCGGCCAGGUUUGGUGGUUGCUUGGGGCUUGGAUUGGGUCUGCAAAUGGGAACAUCGCUAGGGCAUGUCGGUGGUUAUCGUCUUCGCCUCCUUGGCGAGAGGCGGAGAGCGGGAAGGGGAAGAAGACAGGACACAGGAGGAACCAAGGAAGACAACGUGGUCGGAAACUUCCCUGCUCUUUCUCUUUCCAAUAAUUUUCAAUAAAAAUUCCGUCAAUAAUCCAAACUAGCCCUAAAUAUUAUGUUUAGAAAGCCGGUAAACAGAUAUUGAGAGUAAAAAAAACCUUUACUUUCCAAUUGUCCCCUGUUGUUAGGUUGCUAACCCGUAUUAAAUAAUAUUAGAUCACUUUUUUCAAAUGAGUGAGAACAUAAACAAAUCCUUUCCGGUGUAGAUGUACACUUGAAAAUCAUGAUGCAACAAAGCAACUCGUAGAAGUACACAGGGAUCCAAACAAAAAAAAAUAUUUGUAACCUCUUCUAGCUUAGGUUAGAACAGCGAGAGAUUGAGGUUAGGUGGCUGUUCUUUUUUUUAAUUUAUUCUAAUGAUAAAAAAGGCACGAAAUAAAGAGUGGCGUGCAGGUUGUGUCGACGAUAAAAUUGGCGGGCGGAUAGAUUUAGAGACUCUCAUCUGUUGUUCUAUUUUAGGAGAAAAUAUGUUUAGAUAGAAACUUUGUAAACAAAUAUGGUUUAAAAAAUAAAAUAUAGUUUAACGUCAUCAGUUAUCCAUUACGUUACAACUAUGUGAACGAUAUCUAAGAUAAAAUGGCUUAGGAAUGGCUUUAUAGUUCUUUAUUAUCCCUUUAAUCUAAGUCUUUAUAAAGACUAACUUUAAAACUAUUCAUCCAUUUGCCUCACUGUUUAAUUAGGAUAUUAGUGUUCUUACUCUUGCUUUAAUACUAAUCAUGAUUUUACUCUUGUUUUUUUAUUUUACCAUGAUUUUUUAUAAUUUGUAGCACUGUUUGCCCUAGUUUCACAACCCAAUUAGCUAAAAGCAAAUCUCCAUUACUUAUUAAGGGCCUGUUUGUUUACCCCCCAGAUUAUAUAAUCUAGAUUAAAUAAUCCUAAGAGGCAAACAAACAGUUCAGUUUAUUUGCCCAGAUUAUAUAAUCUAACCCCUUGGAUUAUGAUAAUCCAUAAGCAAGUGAGGAGGUGCUUAUUUCAGAUUAUUUUUUUCCCACUUCCCCACUACCCUUUCAAGUUUCCUAGAAAUUACUCACCAUUGCCGUUAUAAUCCACCGAAUCGGUUUUGCGCCUAGUACUAGUCAAUUUGGGGAUGAAGAAGGUGACAUGAAUGCCUUCCGUGAUAAUAUUGCUAAUGCAAUAUUUGCCAAUUUCAAUUGAAUUUUUUUUCAUACAUGAGUUUCAACCUAGUACAAAUAUAGAGGGCAUUCUUGUCUUCCUCAUACAAAAGAAUCAUAUUAACAACUCAAAUAAUCUAGGUAAACAAACAGGACUACUCAGAUUAUAUAAUCCGGAUUAUAUAAUCCAGAUUAUAUAAUCCGGAUUAUAUAAUCCAGAUUAUAUAAUCCUCCAAAAAUAAUCCAGAUUAUAUAAUCCAUGGGGGUAAACAAACAGGCCCUAAGACAGUAAGGGGUAGGCUGACAUUUUGUGUUCUGUCAUUCUCAUUCCCUCGUCUUUCUCAUCCCUCCUGUUUUGUCAUUCCCUCCUCCCGCACUGUUUUUCUUAUUCCCCAUCCCCGCAAAGCUCAUUCUCAUUCCCACGUGCAUCACAUGCCUAGCUAAAAUUAAAUUAAAAAAACAUAAAUGUGGCCCCAAUGGGAUUCGAACGUGUGACCCCUCAAGCAAAUAUGCUUGUAGCUACCACUACACCACAUGUGUAUUUAUGUCAAUAUAUAUUACAGUAAAAUAUCUACUACAUCUCUCCCAAAGCCUACCUGCUACCCUUGCAAAAUGUGUAGUAGUAGAUAAUUAUCAACGAGAUUCCUGAAUUAUAUUUUUGUAUGGAGGGAGUAGUAUUUAAAAAAGAGCCUUGCAUGCAAUUCCUUUUAUUUGAAUAUUGUUUUCAACUUAAAUUCCUUUUUUAUAUGUAUGACAUUUAUUCUUCGUAAUAUAUUUUCCAUGGAUCUGACUUGUGAGUCAUUUUCAUAAACCAACGCCAAAGAUGAAUCCAUUUUUCUUACUUGGAAACCCCGAACAAACAUCACUAGCAGGAGGCGCUCGCGUUGGCGUCGCUCAUCGACGACGAGAAGAAGCUUGGCGACUGCCAGUUCGACCUCUGGAAGCAGUCCUACGUGGUCGCAUGCGCCGCUGUGUUCGGCAAGCUCUGGCGCAACUGCUGCUUGGACGUGGUCCAGAGCGGCUGCACCGCGUUGUCCAUCUUCAAACAGGGGGACCUCAUGGUCGUCGCCAAUGCCCGCGACUCUCGGGUUGUUCUGGGCACCACAUCCGACGACAGCGCCAUCACGUCGUCCAACUCAUCAUCCACCCGAAGCUCAACCUGCCACGUAAGUCGUUACUGACCGGCCAUGAAUUCUUGUGCGCUGGAACGAUGACUAUUGCUGACGUUAUGUGAGUGUCCUCGAACAAGAUGUGAAAGGGAAAUAGGGUCAAACUUUUUCCUGAUUGAUUUUGGUGGUUGAAUUGCCCAACACAAAUAAUUGGACUAACUAGUUUGCGCUAGAUUAUAAGUUCUACAGGUACAAAAUGUUCAACACAAACCAAUAAAAAAGUCCAAGAAAGGGUUCAAAAGAAAGGAGCAAAAGAAAACCGAAUGCUGCCCUGGUCUGGCGCACCGGACUGUCUGGUGUGCCACCGGACAGUGUCCGGUGCACCAGGGAGAUCAACUCCGAACUUGCCACCUUCGGGUUUCUGGAAAUGUCACUCCGCUAUAAUUCACCGAACUGUCCCGUGUAGCACCAAACUGUCCGGUGUGCCAUGCGGAGCAACGGCUACAGCGCCGACGGUCGACUGUAAAAGUGUACAGUAACAGUGAACAGUGCGGACUGCGCGCACAGAAGUCAGAGCAGCGCCAGAAGGCGCACCGGACAGUGAACAGUGACUGUCUGAUGCACCACCGGACUGUCCGGUGGCCCCACUUGUCAGAGCUCCAACGGUCGAACCCUAACAGUUGGGUGACGUGGCUGGCGCACCGGACAGUGUCCAGUGGCGCACCAGACUGUCUGGUGCGCUCGUCGACAGACAGCCUCCCUAACGGCCAUUUUGGUGGUUGGGGCUAUAAAUACCCCCCAACCACCACACUUCAAGGCAUCCAAGUUUUCAGCCAACAUAUUCAAUACAAGAGCUAGUACAUUCAAUAUAAGACACAAUUAGAUUGAAUCAAAGCCUCUCCAAGUCCCAAUUCCAAUCAAAGCAAUUAGUGACUAGAAGAGAGAGUUUUGGCCGUGUUCUUUGAGCUCUUGCGCUUGGAUCGCUUUUCUUCUUCUCCAUUUCUUGUUCGCGAGUCAUUUGUAAUCAAGGCAAGAGACACCAAUUCUGUGGUGGUCCUUGUGGGGACUAAGUGUCCCAUUUGAUUGAGGAGAAAAGCUCACUCGGUCUAAGUGACCGUUUGAGAGAGGGAAAGGGUUGAAAGAGACCCGGUCUUUGUGACCACCUCAACGGGGAGUAGGUUUGCAAGAACCGAACCUUGGUAAAACAAAUCACCUUGUCAUCCGCUUUCAUUUGCUUAUGACUUGUUUUCGCCCUCUCUUUCGGACUCGAUUAUAUUUCUAACGCUAACUCCGGCUUGUAGUUGUGCUUAAAGUUUAUAAAUUUCAGAUUUGCCUAUUCACCCCCCCCCCCUCUAGGUGACUUUCAAUUGGUAUCAGAGCCCGAUACUUCAUUAGAGCCUAACCGCUCCAAGUGAUGUCGGGAGCUCACGCCAAGAAGGAGAUGGUGACCGGCGAGAAGCCCGCUACAAGCCACGGGAAAGCUCCAUCGGGAGAGUCCAUCAACAAGUUGAAGGGAUCCCCUUCACACAACAAGCCACAACGAAGCGGCGAAAAGAAAAAGAAGAUGAAGAAAGUGGUCUACUAUGAGAUCGACUCUUCGUCGCCAUCCACCUCCGGCUCUGACACGCCGUCCGUCACUUCCAAGCGCCAUGAGCGCAAGAAGUUUAGUAAGAUCCCCCUACGCUACCCUCGCAUUUCUAAGCACACUCCUUUACUUUCCGUUCCAUUAGGCAAACCACCAGUUUUUUAUGGUGAAGAUUAUAGUAGGUGGAGUGAUAUGACGAAAUAUCACCUAACCUCACUCCACACAAGCAUAUGGGACGUUGUUGAAGUUGGAGCACAGGUACCAUCCGUAGGGGAUGAAGAUUAUGAUGAGGACGAAGUCACCCAAAUCCGGCACUUCAAUUCCCUAGCAACUACUAUACUCCUCACCUCUAUAAGUCGAGAGGAGUAUAAUAAGGUACAAGGGUUGAAGAGUGCCAAAGAGGUUUGGGACGUACUAAAGACCACGCACGAAGGAGACGAGGUGACCAAGAUCACCAAAAGGGAAACGAUCGAGGGGGAGCUCAGUCGGUUCAUGCUCAAUCAAGGAGAGGAGCCACAAGCUAUGUAUAACCAGCUCAAGAUCUUGGUCAACCAAGUGCGCAACCUCGGGAGCACAAAAUGGGAUGACCAUGAAAUGGUCAAGGUUAUUCUUAGAUCACUCGUUUUUCUUAAUCCUACUCAAGUACAAUUAAUUCGUGGUGAUUCUAGAUAUAAACUAAUGUCUCCCGAGGAAGUAAUAGGAAAGUUUGUGAGAUUUGAAUUGAUGAUCAAAGGCUCCAAACAAAUCAUCGAGCGAGGCGCCACCUCCACACCUGAGGUGCAACCCGUUGCAUUCAAAGCAACGGAGGAGAAGAAAGAAGAGUCUACGCCAAGUAGGCUCCCUAUCGAUGCCUCCAAGCUCGACAACAAGGAGAUGGCGCUCAUCAUCAAGAGCUUCCUCCAAAUCCUCAAGCAAAGGAGGG